CCCACUUAGUGCUUCUGUGUGACCUCUUCAUUUGCAGACAGGUCCCAAUCAAGCAAAAUCUUGGAGGAUCCUGAGCUACCAGAGACUUGCACCCCCAGCCACCCGGAGAUGCUGCACCCACUACCUUUUACAUACCUAACUCAUAGAUCUCCAGGACAUGUGAUAGCAAGCAAGAGUGGCUUAUAAGGACUUAGAAUCAGCACCUACAGCUGCAGGUAGGGUUACGCCUGAAUCACUGCCAAUCACUGAAUCACUGAAUCACUGGCAACGCUAUUUCCUUCUUUUUGCUACAUUAAUCUAUGG
Molecule: long non-coding RNA, 303 nt
Filed under: Struthio camelus australis
Lineage: Eukaryota; Metazoa; Chordata; Aves; Struthioniformes; Struthionidae
Description: lncRNA (ENSSCUG00000017214.1)
Source: RNAcentral